Spinacia oleracea (spinach) is the source of this 795-nucleotide long non-coding RNA. RefSeq lists it as uncharacterized. The transcript has 2 exons. The record is from RefSeq and is a predicted model, not a curated record. NCBI's taxonomy places the organism in Eukaryota, Viridiplantae, Streptophyta, Magnoliopsida, Caryophyllales, Amaranthaceae.
UUCAUUUUUAUCUCUCUCCUAAACUAUAUCCCCCUCUCUCUCUCUCCUAACCCUCUGCCUCUCUCUCCUCUCCGAUCUCUUCUCCUCCGCCGGCGUAGGUUUGAGAACAACCGACGGUGUUACCUAAUCUCAAAUUAGGUUUUUGAUUUUUCAAUUCUUAUGAAGAGUCGGAGGUUUCAGUAAUGGAGGAGGGAGAAUCAGAGUUAUAGACGAGGCGGAGGAGGAUAUCGGCGGUGGAAGCAUUGUUGAAGUAUAUUUUUAUGGAUGCCGCGGGAAGUUAGGGUUCAGGCGAGAGGUUAGGUUUCCGAAGACGAAUUUCGAUGGCCGGCGAGCAGCGACAGAAGGAGAAGAGCUGCGAAGGAAGGAGCAGAGGUGGCGAGGAAAAAGCAAGAUCGGCGGUGGAGAUUGAGAGCCGCCGAUCUGUUGAGUGCUUGUUGGAGGCGAGAGGAGACUGAUUUUCGCUGCCGCAAAAAGUUAGGAUUGACGGCGGUGGUGGCGGCCGUUGUCGGUGGUGGUGGCCAUUGUCGCUCCUCUACUCUACUGGUGCCGUUGUCGGUGGUGAUGGCCGUUGUCGGUGGUGGUGGCCCGUUGUGUUUCACAGCCGCGAGGAGAGGAAGCGCUGCCUGUUGCUGGGUGCAAAAAUAGCAAAGAAAUAUAAUUUAAUUUCCAAAUUUGUAAUGUAAAUGUAAAUAAUUUUAUUCAUUUAUAUUAGUUAGGAUUAGAUUGGUUUUAGUUAAGAAUAAUUUCAUUUUAGUUACAUUUUUGGUAUAUCUAGUUAAGAGUAUUUUCGUUUUA